Molecule: ribosomal RNA, 460 nt
Filed under: uncultured bacterium
Lineage: Bacteria
Description: partial 16S ribosomal RNA
Rfam family: Bacterial small subunit ribosomal RNA
Source: RNAcentral
CCUACGGGUGGCAGCAGUGAGGAAUAUUGGUCAAUGGCCGUAAGGCUGAACCAGCCAAGUCGCGUGAAGGAAGAAGGAUCUAAGGUUCGUAAACCUCUUUUAUAGGUGAAUAAAGGUAUCCACGCGUGGGUAUUUGCAUGUACCCUAUGAAAAAGCAUCGGCUAACUCCGUGCCAGCAGCCGCGGUAAUACGGAGGAUGCGAGCGUUAUCCGGAUUUAUUGGGUUUAAAGGGUGCGUAGGUUGGUUUUUAAGUCAGCGGUGAAAGUUUGUGGCUGAAACCUCAUAUUGCCGUUGAAACUGGAAGACUUGAGUGGGUGUGAGGUAGGCGGAAUGCGUGGUGUAGCGGUGAAAUGCAUAGAUAUCACGCAGAACUCCGAUUGCGAAGGCAGCUUACUGAGGCACAACUGACGCUGAAGCACGAAAGCGCGGGGAUCGAACAGGAUUAGAUACCCGAGUAGUC